CGUGUAGGCGGAGAUGCAAGUUGGGAGUGAAAUCCAUGGGCUCAACCCAUGAACUGCUUUCAAAACUGCAUCCCUUGAGUAUCGGAGAGGCAAGCGGAAUUCCUAGUGUAGCGGUGAAAUGCGUAGAUAUUAGGAGGAACACCAGUGGCGAAGGCGGCUUGCUGGACGACAACUGACGCUGAGGCGCGAAAGCGUGGGGAGCAAACA
RNAcentral lists this ribosomal RNA (207 nucleotides) under uncultured Bacillota bacterium. RNAcentral describes it as "uncultured Firmicutes bacterium partial 16S ribosomal RNA". It matches the Rfam family "Bacterial small subunit ribosomal RNA", at positions 568 to 774 of the family's 1533-position model. Lineage: Bacteria; Bacillati; Bacillota. The record is from RNAcentral.